RNAcentral lists this ribosomal RNA (459 nucleotides) under uncultured bacterium. RNAcentral's name for it is "partial 16S ribosomal RNA". It matches the Rfam family "Bacterial small subunit ribosomal RNA", at positions 338 to 795 of the family's 1533-position model. The record is from RNAcentral.
CCUACGGGGCGCAGCAGUGAGGAAUAUUGGUCAAUGGUCGGGAGACUGAACCAGCCAAGCCGCGUGAGGGAUGAAGGUACAGAGUAUCGUAAACCUCUUUUGUCAGGGAACAAAGGCGGGGACGUGUCCCCGGAUGAGUGUACCUGACGAAAAAGCAUCGGCUAACUCCGUGCCAGCAGCCGCGGUAAUACGGAGGAUGCGAGCUUUAUCCGGUUUUAUUGGGUUUAAAGGGUGCGCAGGCGGUCUGUUAAGUCAGCGGUCAAAGCCCGGGGCUCAACCCCGGCCCGCCGUUGAAACUGGCAGUCGCGAGUUGGAGAGAAGUAUGCGGAAUGCGCGGUGUAGCGGUGAAAUGCAUAGAUAUCGCGCAGAACUCCGAUUGCGAAGGCAGCAUGCCGGCUCCACACUGACGCUGAGGCACGAAAGCGUGGGUAUCGAACAGGAUUAGAUACCCGUGUAGUC